GUGGGGAAUAUUGGACAAUGGGCGCAAGCCUGAUCCAGCCAUGCCGCGUGAGUGAUGAAGGCCUUAGGGUUGUAAAGCUCUUUCACCGAUGAAGAUAAUGACGGUAGUCGGAGAAGAAGCCCCGGCUAACUUCGUGCCAGCAGCCGCGGUAAUACGAAGGGGGCUAGCGUUGUUCGGAAUUACUGGGCGUAAAGCGCACGUAGGCGGAUAUUUAAGUCAGGGGUGAAAUCCUGGAGCUCAACUCCAGAACUGCCUUCGAUACUGGCGAUCUUGAGUCCGGAAGAGGUGAGUGGAACUCCUAGUGUAGAGGUGGAAUUCGUAGAUAUUAGGAAGAACACCAGUGGCGAAGGCGGCUCACUGGUCCGGUACUGACGCUGAGGUGCGAAAGCGUGGGGAGCAAACAGGAUUAGAAACCCGUGUAGUCC
This 425-nucleotide ribosomal RNA is filed under the name uncultured bacterium. RNAcentral's name for it is "partial 16S ribosomal RNA". It matches the Rfam family "Bacterial small subunit ribosomal RNA", at positions 354 to 796 of the family's 1533-position model. The record is from RNAcentral.